UCUUAGCCAAAAGGCCGAGAAA
RNAcentral lists this small nuclear RNA (22 nucleotides) under Arabidopsis thaliana (thale cress). RNAcentral describes it as "snRNA_15307". Lineage: Eukaryota; Viridiplantae; Streptophyta; Magnoliopsida; Brassicales; Brassicaceae. The record is from RNAcentral.